This 544-nucleotide ribosomal RNA is filed under the name uncultured archaeon. Its description in RNAcentral is "bacterial SSU rRNA". It matches the Rfam family "Archaeal small subunit ribosomal RNA", at positions 103 to 652 of the family's 1478-position model. The record is from RNAcentral.
GAUAACCUGCCCUAAGGUGGGGCAUAACCCCGGGAAACUGGGGAUAAUACCCCAUAGGUUAGAGAUGCUGGAAUGCCCUUUAACCCAAAGCUCCGGCGCCUUAGGAUGGAUCUGCGGCCGAUUAGGUAGUUGUUGGGGUAACGGCCCAACAAGCCCGUAAUCGGUACGGGUUGUGGGAGCAAGAGCCCGGAGAUGGACUCUGAGACACGAGUCCAGGCCCUACGGGGCGCAGCAGGCGCGAAAACUUUACAAUGCAGGAAACUGUGAUAAGGGAACCCCGAGUGCCCGUAUACGCGGGCUGUCCAGGUGUGUAAAAAGCAUCUGAAGAAAGGGCCGGGCAAGACCGGUGCCAGCCGCCGCGGUAAUACCGGCGGCUCGAGUGGUGGCCACUUUUAUUGGGCUUAAAGCGUUCGUAGCUUGGUUGUUAAGUCUCUUGGGAAAUCUCACGGCUUAACCGUGAGGCGUCUAAGGGAUACUGGCAACCUAGGGACCGGAAGAGGUGAGAGGUACUCCAGGGGUAGGAGUGAAAUCCUGUAAUCCUUGG